ACAUGGAGGAGUGUAUUCAGCUCCGAGAUGAGAUCGAGGAGCUCAUCAGAUGAGGUUGGCUCAAUAGAUUCAUCCGAUGCCGGCCUGAAGGUAGGGAAGAUCGAUCGAGGGUCCUACCACAACCAGAGCCACCAAGGAAGGAAGAAUAGCCUGAAGAUCGGCCUCCAAUUGGGAUCAUCAACACCAUCUCUAGAGGACCCCGACGGGGAGCAGCCAGUGGAU
RNAcentral lists this long non-coding RNA (222 nucleotides) under Elaeis guineensis (African oil palm). Its description in RNAcentral is "long non-coding RNA (EGUI_LNC050890)". The record is from RNAcentral. Lineage: Eukaryota; Viridiplantae; Streptophyta; Magnoliopsida; Arecales; Arecaceae.